ACCACUGAGCCACCUUCCCAGCCCUAUGAUAACUUUCUUAAAUUAUUUAAUAUAAUAGGCUGGGAAGGUGGCUCAGUGGU
Molecule: non-coding RNA, 80 nt
Organism: Dipodomys ordii (Ord's kangaroo rat)
Lineage: Eukaryota; Metazoa; Chordata; Mammalia; Rodentia; Heteromyidae
Source: Rfam